UACGUAGGGGGCAAGCGUUGUCCGGAUUUACUGGGCGGAAAGAGCGCGCAGGCGGUCGAUCAAGUCGAGUGUGAAAGCCCCCGGCUCAACUGGGGAGGGUCAUUCGAUACUGAUCGACUCGAAGGCAGGAGAGGGUAGUGGAAUUCCCGGUGUAGUGGUGAAAUGCGUAGAUAUCGGGAGGAACACCAGUGGCGAAGGCGACUACCUGGCCUGUUCUUGACGCUGAGGCGCGAAAGCUAGGGGAGCAAACGGG
This 253-nucleotide ribosomal RNA is filed under the name uncultured bacterium. Its description in RNAcentral is "partial 16S ribosomal RNA". It matches the Rfam family "Bacterial small subunit ribosomal RNA", at positions 524 to 776 of the family's 1533-position model. The record is from RNAcentral.